This 926-nucleotide non-coding RNA is filed under the name Brachyurophis semifasciatus. Lineage: Eukaryota; Metazoa; Chordata; Lepidosauria; Squamata; Elapidae. The record is from RNAcentral.
CCCAAUCUUUUAACACAAGGUCUUGGUCUUAAACCUCUUAUUAUCUAAACUCUAUACUUAUACAUGCAAGCCUCAACACAACGGUGAAAAAGCCCACCACCAACCUCACAAGGAGCCGAUAUCAGGUCAAUCACCCAUGACAUCAAGCAACUAAGCCACACCCCCACGGGUCCACAGCAGUAGUUAAUAUUGGGCAAUAAGCGCAAGCUUGACCCAGCAAUAGAGUCACAGGGCCGGUUAAUCUCGUGCCAGCGACCGCGGUUACACGACAGGCCCAAGACAAUACCACCGGCGUAAAGCACGACUAAAAUCCAGUUUACCCCAUUAGAGGUGAAGAAAGACUUGGCCGUAAAAAGCCAUAAGUUGCACUAACCACAAACCCUAAUAUUAAACAACUUCAACUCGUGAAAGUCAGGGGACAAACUAAGAUUAGAUACCUUACUAUGCCUAACCAUAACAAAACAAUUAAACUACCAAUUGUUCGCCAAAUAACUACGAGUAAAAACUUAAAAUUUAAAAGACUUGACGGUACUUCACACCAACCUAGAGGAGCCUGUCUAUUAACCGAUAACCCACGAUUAACCCAACCCGCUCUAGCCUGACAGUCUAUAUACCGCCGUCGCCAGCUUACCUUGUGAAAGAACCAAAGCAAGCCCAAUAACCCCCAUUAACACGACAGGUCGAGGUGUAACUAAUGAGCCGGACCAAGAUGGGCUACAUUUUCUAACUCAGAAAAAACGAAUAGACUAUGAAACUAGAAACUGAAGCGGAUUUAGCAGUAAGUUGGGAAUAAACACACCCAGCCGAAGUCAACGCAAUGAAGUGCGCACACACCGCCCGUCAUCCCUGUAAAAUUCCUCACUCACUUCAUAAAAACCACCUCCCAUCAAAGCAGGGCAAGUCGUAACAUGGUAAGCGUACUGAAA